AGGGAAUCUUCCGCAAUGGGCGAAAGCCUGACGGAGCAACGCCGCGUGAGUGAUGAAGGUCUUCGGAUCGUAAAACUCUGUUAUUAGGGAAGAACAUAUGUGUAAGUAACUGUGCACAUCUUGACGGUACCUAAUCAGAAAGCCACGGCUAACUACGUGCCAGCAGCCGCGGUAAUACGUAGGUGGCAAGCGUUAUCCGGAAUUAUUGGGCGUAAAGCGCGCGUAGGCGGUUUUUUAAGUCUGAUGUGAAAGCCCGCGGCUCAACCGUGGAGGGUCAUUGGAAACUGGAAAACUUGAGUGCAGAAGAGGAAAGUGGAAUUCCAUGUGUAGCGGUGAAAUGCGCAGAGAUAUGGAGGAACACCAGUGGCGAAGGCGACUUUCUGGUCUGUAACUGACGCUGAUGUGCGAAAGCGUGGGGAUCAAACAGGAUUAGAUACCCUGGUAGUCCACGCCGUAAACGAUGAGUGCUAAGUGUUAGGGGGUUUCCGCCCCUUAGUGCUGCAGCUAACGCAUUAAGCACUCCGCCUGGGGAGUACGACCGCAAGGUUG
This 549-nucleotide ribosomal RNA is filed under the name uncultured bacterium. RNAcentral's name for it is "bacterial SSU rRNA". It matches the Rfam family "Bacterial small subunit ribosomal RNA", at positions 356 to 896 of the family's 1533-position model. The record is from RNAcentral.